This 198-nucleotide ribosomal RNA is filed under the name Triticum aestivum (bread wheat). RNAcentral describes it as "partial small subunit ribosomal RNA". The record is from RNAcentral. Lineage: Eukaryota; Viridiplantae; Streptophyta; Magnoliopsida; Poales; Poaceae.
AUGACUAGCACCGACUUCUUCAGCAAGUUCCACGUGCGUUCGCUAAGGAGCAACAAGGACGCGAUGAUGUCUGCCCUCUACCUUCAAGUGAGCAUCAUCAGCCAGGCCUCAUCUUUGUCACCCGGUCGCGCUGCUGGUGCUUCCAGGAGCGCCCGGGGCUCUGGCUCUGCUUCGCCUUCGUCGUCGCGCAUAUCGUAA